RNAcentral lists this ribosomal RNA (253 nucleotides) under uncultured bacterium. Its description in RNAcentral is "partial 16S ribosomal RNA". It matches the Rfam family "Bacterial small subunit ribosomal RNA", at positions 524 to 776 of the family's 1533-position model. The record is from RNAcentral.
CACGUCGGGGGCGAGCGUUGUCCGGAUUUAUUGGGCGUAAAGAGCUCGUAGGCGGUCUGUCGCGUCGGCUGUGAAAACUCGGGGCUUAACCCCGGGCCUGCAGUGGGUACGGGCAGACUAGAGUGCGGUAGGGGAGACUGGAAUUCCUGGUGUAGCGGUGAAAUGCGCAGAUAUCAGGAGGAACACCGGUGGCGAAGGCGGGUCUCUGGGCCGUAACUGACGCUGAGGUGCGAAAGCGUGGGGAGCAAACAGG